This 71-nucleotide transfer RNA is filed under the name Loxodonta africana (African savanna elephant). It matches the Rfam family "tRNA". From Rfam's summary of the family: Transfer RNA (tRNA) molecules are approximately 80 nucleotides in length. Their secondary structure includes four short double-helical elements and three loops (D, anti-codon, and T loops). The record is from Rfam by way of RNAcentral. Lineage: Eukaryota; Metazoa; Chordata; Mammalia; Proboscidea; Elephantidae.
GUAUUGGUGGUUCAGUGCUAGAGUUCUUACUUUCCAGGUGGGAGGCCCAAGUUUAAUUCCUGGCCAGUGCA